This is a long non-coding RNA of Helianthus annuus (common sunflower), 3038 nucleotides long. RefSeq lists it as uncharacterized. The transcript has 13 exons. Lineage: Eukaryota; Viridiplantae; Streptophyta; Magnoliopsida; Asterales; Asteraceae. The record is from RefSeq and is a predicted model, not a curated record.
CCACACAAUUCCAUAUUUUCACAAACCCUAACAUACUUCAUCGCCGCUUUCGCUCUUCUCCAUCUCUGUGUUUUCUCUUAUCCAUUGAAGCCGCUUAUUCGAUUCUUUGAGGUUUUUUUUGUUUGUUGAACCCGGGCUAAUCAUCCUUACUCCCAGUUACAAGUCUUCAAGGAUGUGGGUUUUGGUAGUGUUAGGAGCCAUAUUACAUAAUCUUGCAAGAGUUCAGGACCGACAAGGGAUCUACCUAUCAAUUAUGAUCAACAUGCUCUUCCUGUAGAAGUUUUAAAAAUAGUUUACACAUUAAAAGAUGAGGGACCAUGAGUUGUAAGUAUGGAUAUUGUGGAUGUUAAUUGUCCAAGAUGGAAGCUCAGGUAUUGUGGGUUUUAUUUCUGUACAUGGAUCUAAAUUGCAGGUAUAACCUGAUUCAUAAUGCAAUCGGAUCAUAUACAUAUGAUUUGGGAAGAUGGUGAAUUAAUCAGGAAAGAUAUGUAUUUAAAAGUUUUCGAUUUAUUGAGUAUUUCUUAUGCUUGAUGAAUGGUGCAAUUAACUUGGUGAAAAUGAUGAAUUAAUCAGGAAAAAUAUUUAUUUAAAAGUAUGUUGUUUUCAAGUUUGUGCUCUUAUAAUUUUGUUGAUGUCAAAGUGAAGAGGUCGUACAAUAUUGUUUUUUAUCUAAAUAAAGUCAAAAGUAUUGUUUUUCAAGUUGCUUCUCGCUGAUGAAUCACUAUGAAAAUUGUGAUUCCUAUUUUUUUUAUCUUUGGCUAAUGAAACCACAAUUUCAGGGGCUAGGGUAAACGACACAUUCUGUGACCCAAAUAGUGGAGAUAAUUGAGUGGAACAAGGACAGCCGUACCUACCGACAACGGUGGUGAUCCGAAUGGUUUUGGUGUAAUAGAGUUGGGGCAAUGGUUGGAAUCGAUAACAAGCCAAACGAACUGCUCAGUUUCUAUGACAGGUUCAAACGGAUUCGCAAACCGAACACAUGGGAAGAACAUGAACCGCACUAAAGACGACCGUAGAUGUGGAUGUGUAGUGUUUUGUGUCCAUAACUUAUGAUGGUUUGGAUGGCGUUGAUUGUUGGUGAUUGCGGUGGCAGAGAUAAGUGAUGAAAAGUUCGAGACUCGGAGCGUUAUCAUUGGGCUGCUACACAAGGGGUUAAUGAAGAAGUGCUAAUGGAGAAUUUGCCUGAAGACUUGCAAAGAGAUAUCUGCUGCCACCUCUUCAAAUUUGUCAAGAAAGUCCGGAUUUUGGCGUCAAUGGAUUGAACCGAUUUUAGAUGCGAUAUGUGAAAGAUUAAGGCAAAAGACAUAUAUAAAAGAAGGAACAACCUUAUAUGAAGGAGGGUUUGUGACAAAAAUGGUUUUUAUUGUAAGAGGGAAAAUGGAAAGCACAAGAGAAGAUGGGAAUGUGGUUACGUUAUCUGAAGGUGAUGUAUGUGGUGAAGAACUCCUCACAUGGUGCCUUGAACCUUCCUCUCUUAAUGGAGAUGCAAGGACACGGGGGAAGCCAGGAUGCAAAUUGGUGUGCAAGAGGACAGUGAAAUGCUUAUCAAAUGUGGAGGCAUGCGUGCUUUGCGCUGCAGAUCUUGAAGAAAUCACCACCCUUUUUGCUGGAUUUUUGAGGAAUCACCGCGUUCAAAUGGCAAUAAGGCAUGAAUCUCCAUUUGGUUAAGUUGGUUGUCCAUGAACCUUAGUCCGAUGACUCAUGUUGAUCUCAUAUAUUUUGGAGAGAAUGGGAUAGCCAACCACUGCACCCGGCAGCGACGCGAUUGAGCUACAACGGAUCUAUGGCAGCGGUUGAGGAGGGAAGGCAAAAUUCUAUCCUUUUCUAGGAACUGAAGUGUAGCACCCUCUACUAAUCAAGAAAGAGAUGAACUUCAGGAAUGUAUAAUGAUUCUGGAAGGCGUUCAAUUUAGGAGCGGGGAAGACAGUUGGAGCUGGUCGGGAGCUCGGAUGGCGCCUUUUCGGUUAAAUCCAUUCGAGCUCUCCUUGCUUGGCAGGGGCUACAAGUGGAUGUGAAUCCCUUUAUGUGGAACUAACUCUUACCCAAAAAGGUAAUAUUUUUGGGUGACGUCUUAAUCAGAAUCGCUUACAAACUCGAAUGACACUAAUUAGCAGGGGAAUUAAUGUUAAUUCUUCUAUAUGCCCUCUUUGCAACGACGAAUUUCAGAUUUGCUGAAGUAUCAUGAGGUGGCAGUGGAAUCAGAAACAGAGAAAAUAAUGUUGUAGUCGGUCAUCUUAACGGCAUGCUGAGUGCUAUGGAAAUUAAGAAAUGAGGUCAUGUUUAGAUCAGAGAAGAGAAGAUGGAGAUCGGCAACCUGCUAGAUGAAAUAAAAGACUUUGGCUUUCUUUAGGUUAAAAAACUGGCAUCAUUGGAGUGGACUCAAUGGAAUAAAUUUGUGUUUCUUUAAUUAAAUUGUAAUGGUAUAUUUGGUUGGUGGGUCAUGCUCAAGAUGUAAUUGUGUUUGGUGGUUAAUAAAGUUGACUAAAAAAAUAAAAAAUAAUAAUCAAUCGUUGUAAAUGGAAUAUGCUUUACUUUGGAGUUCACAUCAGACAUUCAUUAUGUUCUGUAGUGUUCGUCGCUGAUGGAAUUGCCUUUGUUUUGUAGUGUUCGCCGUUGAUGGAGCUUUUAGGUUCAACCCUUUGUUCUCACCCGUUAAUUCAGAGAGAGAGAGAGAUGUAGCGAUGGAGUGCGUUGCUUGGUUUGGCGGUUUGGCACGUUUCUUGCGCUCUGUUUUUAUGCUUUGGACAUAAUGCUGGAUUUCUGUGUCAGCCGUCUUACAGGCAGUUUAUGCUUAGAGACACGAUUAGUCAAAUACUUAAUUGACGGACUGCUUCACAGAAUAACAAAAACUUCUCUUCUCUUUAUUGGUGUUCGUUUGUUGUCCUUGGAAUGCGCUUUCCAUAUUGAAGAUUGGUAGUUGUUUUGUGUUUCAUGUUUAUUAAUAAUUAUCUGAUUUAUUUAGGGUCUUCGGGUCAUAAGUCAUAUAUAUAGAUGUUGUAUCAAAACUAAAUUAAUAGAAGCAUCAAAUUAUAUAGUUA